GUGAGUCAUCGAAUCUUUGAACGCACCUUGCGCCCCUUGGUUAUUCCUCGGGGCAUGCCUGUUUGAGUAUCAUGAACACCUCAACUCUCACGGUCUUCCGUGACGAGCUUGGACUUUUGGAGGUUUGCUGGUUUUGCGGCCGGCUCCUCUCAAAUGAAUCAGCUUGCCAGUGUUUGGUGGCGUCACGGGUGUGAUAACUAUCUACGCUCGCGGUCGUCCGCCAGGUAACCCUCGAUCGUGAAGGUUUCAUUGGAGCUCACAAACGUCCCUCGGGACAACUUUUGAACGUUCGAUCUCAAAUCAGGUAGGACUACCCGCUGAACUUAAGCAUAUCAAUAAGCGGAGGA
RNAcentral lists this unclassified non-coding RNA (347 nucleotides) under Thelephoraceae sp. RNAcentral describes it as "partial contains 5.8S ribosomal RNA, internal transcribed spacer 2, and large subunit ribosomal RNA". The stretch from base 291 to 347 matches the Rfam family "Eukaryotic large subunit ribosomal RNA", at positions 1 to 57 of the family's 3401-position model. The record is from RNAcentral. Lineage: Eukaryota; Fungi; Basidiomycota; Agaricomycetes; Thelephorales; Thelephoraceae.